RNAcentral lists this ribosomal RNA (253 nucleotides) under uncultured bacterium. RNAcentral's name for it is "partial 16S ribosomal RNA". It matches the Rfam family "Bacterial small subunit ribosomal RNA", at positions 524 to 776 of the family's 1533-position model. The record is from RNAcentral.
UACGAAGGGGGCUAGCGUUGUUCGGAAUUACUGGGCGUAAAGCGCGCGCAGGCGGUCCUUUAAGUCAGGGGUGAAAGCCCAGAGCUCAACUCUGGAACUGCCUUUGAAACUAGAGGACUUGGGUACGGGAGAGGUGAGUGGAAUUCCGAGUGUAGAGGUGAAAUUCGUAGAUAUUCGGAAGAACACCAGUGGCGAAGGCGACUCGCUGGACAAGUAUUGACGCUGAGGUGCGAAAGCGUGGGGAGCAAACAGG